RNAcentral lists this transfer RNA (52 nucleotides) under Equus sp. Its description in RNAcentral is "partial tRNA-Trp". Lineage: Eukaryota; Metazoa; Chordata; Mammalia; Perissodactyla; Equidae. The record is from RNAcentral.
AGGAAUUUAGGUUAACAUCCCAGACCAAGANCCUUCAAAGCUCUAAGCAAGU